UCGAAAUCGGUAGACGCUACGGACUUAAAAUCCGUUGGCUUUUAGACCGUGAGGGUUCAAGUCCCUCUACCCCCA
Molecule: transfer RNA, 75 nt
Filed under: Jungermannia atrovirens
Lineage: Eukaryota; Viridiplantae; Streptophyta; Jungermanniopsida; Jungermanniales; Jungermanniaceae
Also listed under: 1 other name
Description: partial tRNA-Leu
Rfam family: tRNA
About the family: Transfer RNA (tRNA) molecules are approximately 80 nucleotides in length. Their secondary structure includes four short double-helical elements and three loops (D, anti-codon, and T loops).
Source: RNAcentral